Molecule: unclassified non-coding RNA, 385 nt
Filed under: uncultured Gemmatimonadota bacterium
Lineage: Bacteria; Pseudomonadati; Gemmatimonadota
Description: uncultured Gemmatimonadetes bacterium partial contains 16S ribosomal RNA, 16S-23S ribosomal RNA intergenic spacer, and 23S ribosomal RNA
Rfam family: Bacterial large subunit ribosomal RNA (bases 273-385)
Source: RNAcentral
ACCGGAGCGACGAGUAAGGGUGGCUCUUCGGAGUCGCUCGGAAAGUCCUCAACGGAAGUCGCAAGCCUCGACACAUCACAUCGAUCUCGAUUUUGAUUCUCUGUUUUGCGCUGCUCGCGCGUCAUUUGCGAGCGUGCUGAUUGACAACGGAAGUGGGAAGUGAUUGUGGGAUGACGAAUCCAAUUAGUGAUUCAAUUUCGUUUGGCAGUAUUUAACGAUUGCAAUCACUCGUGAGAUCGCGCGUAAGAAGUUCUCCGCUUGACAUCUAUGGACGUCAAGCGAAUGAAAGCGUAUGGAGGAUGCCUGGGCACACAGAGGCGAUGAAGGCCGCGAUAAGCUGCGAUAAGCCAGGGCGAGCUGCACAUAAGCGUUGAACCCUGGAUUG